UUGAAAUCUAAAGGUGUAAUGCAAGAAUAUGCAAGACCACAGGGACUGGAGACACAAAGAGCAUCUGAAGAGAGCUUGAAUGACUCCCAACAGUUCCAGUCUCAAAGUUACCAUGUGCAGCACAGUCAGGGCAGCAUGUGAGAAGAACAACAAGAAAGCUGGGGUCUGCCAGAGAAGACGGAAGCCCUCACAUUAAACUGAGUCAGCUGGCAUCUUGAUCUUGGACUUUCAAAU
This 234-nucleotide long non-coding RNA is filed under the name Homo sapiens (human). RNAcentral's name for it is "non-protein coding ZFHX4-AS1:14". Lineage: Eukaryota; Metazoa; Chordata; Mammalia; Primates; Hominidae. The record is from RNAcentral.